Molecule: long non-coding RNA, 747 nt
Filed under: Marmota monax (woodchuck)
Lineage: Eukaryota; Metazoa; Chordata; Mammalia; Rodentia; Sciuridae
Source: RNAcentral
AUGAGGUGUAAUGGAGUGAAGGAGGGCUGAGGGCUUCAGAUGGAAAAGCCAGUCAUAGCCGUAGCAGUGUUUCCCAGGCAAGGACCGGACCCCAUGAAUAUUCUUGACCUGUCUGGGGGUGGCGGAACUUCAGAGUGAGUCAGUGUCCCCUGCUCACUCGCCCUUUCGUGGGCUUAGGAGACGGAAUACUCUCUUAAUGCCUAUGAGACCCGGCUCGAGUGAGGGAUUUUAGUAAGGGGUCAAGAUGGUCUUCUGAACCCCAAGGGCAGCCUUGAACCUCCUUCUUCUCAUGAGCUUAGGGGGUCUCCAAGGUGGAGUGACAGGGCUGAGUAGAGGUUAUAACCGUGCAUUUGGGGACCUCUGGAGGUGACUGGAGGAGGAUAUAGUUCCCUACUCAACAUGGCUGUUUCUAGGCAGAGCUGAGCCACACCAGGAAGACUAAGUGGGAAAGUCACAAAGCUGAGGGGAGACCAGACCUAAGGCACUACCUCCACGACCCCAGACCUAGGGACAGUCUGCAUUGUUCUUCUCUGGGCCCAAUUCUGCAUGGGUUCCUUAGUGCUCCCUUUAUAGGCCAACCUGAAGGUCUUUACAACUAACCAAGCACUGGGCAAUCAGGUAUCGACGGCCACCAUUAUAUGACCUAGACCUGAGCAAUCUCAGCACGUCAGAAUGGACACAGGCUUAGGAUCUUCCAGUCUAACCCUUUUGUUCUUGCAAAUAAGAGAACAAAGGCACAGGUGGUGU